Molecule: long non-coding RNA, 1042 nt
Filed under: Pan troglodytes (chimpanzee)
Lineage: Eukaryota; Metazoa; Chordata; Mammalia; Primates; Hominidae
Description: long non-coding RNA NONPTRT010902
Source: RNAcentral
AGAAGGGCGGAGCAGGGGACCUGAGAUGAUUUUCUCCGAUAUUUAGUCAGACUGAUUUUCUGGAUCCAAGUUUCUCAACUUACCAAAUGUGGGCAAAUCAUUAUAUUGCUCCCAGCCUUAAAAAUCUUCAAUAAGUUAAAGAGAGGACUCAGACUUAAUGGCAAUCCUGUUAUCUUACCAAUGAGGAGACUAAACAUCUAGUUGGAGAUCACCUCCUUACUGGCUCAGAGCUUCAGGAAAUCGCUCAAGGGUGUGCAAAUACUAAACAGUAGAGCUGGGAUUUAGAUCCACAUCUACUUAAUUUUAGUGCGUAUGCUCUAACUGCUGCCACAGAAGGGAUGCAGAGGAAGAUGGUCAGUUACCCAGAGGGUGAUAUCUUUGACUUAAUGUUCACCAUAAAGACAGCUAUCAACAAAAGACUUGAAUUCUAACUUGUUAUCUAUUGCAGGAAAGUGCCUGCAAUAUGCCAUUGUGACAAGGCACCAUCAAUCAUCAUGUCCCUUUACCAGGAGGGCCCGUGUCAUAAGCCACUAUGUAAAGGGAAUGAUGGGUGGACUGCUUUGGACAAAUGGACCUGGGGUAGGAGAGAGGGACAACAGUAGGAGCAGGCAGAUCUUGCUGUUUCAACCAAAACCUCAUGCUGACCAGAGUUGAGGAACAGAAGAAGAUGGUGAAGGCCUGCAGGUAUAGGUGUUCAGCAUGUCAUCUGAAAUAUUCCCCACAGAGGCAAAAAGAAAGGAAAUUAUCUCUGAAAAGGAAUGGGAAGACAAGUCAGCAGAAUAUCUCAAUGUUUUGGUUGAAGAAGCUGCUUGAAUCUGGGCUUUUCUGUGCCAUGUGUUCUCCCAGGGCCAGCACAAAGAAGGGCUUUUGGUGCAGGCCCAAGACCACCAUAAUCAUCAUUGAUUAUUCCUCUCCACGCCAGUGUCUCUAAAUAAACUUUCUCUUCUUUCUCUGACAAAGGUGUUUUUGAGUGUUACUGUUUAGCUGAAGAGUGACGUUGAGUGACCUUAGUACCCUAGCCCUUCAUGUAAUCAGAUGGGUG